Molecule: transfer RNA, 86 nt
Filed under: Gemmatimonadota bacterium
Lineage: Bacteria; Pseudomonadati; Gemmatimonadota
Description: Gemmatimonadetes bacterium tRNA-Val
Rfam family: tRNA
About the family: Transfer RNA (tRNA) molecules are approximately 80 nucleotides in length. Their secondary structure includes four short double-helical elements and three loops (D, anti-codon, and T loops). Further hydrogen bonds mediate the characteristic L-shaped molecular structure. tRNAs have two regions of fundamental functional importance: the anti-codon, which is responsible for specific mRNA codon recognition, and the 3' end, to which the tRNAs corresponding amino acid is attached (by aminoacyl-tRNA synthetases). tRNAs cope with the degeneracy of the genetic code in two manners: having more than one tRNA (with a specific anti-codon) for a particular amino acid; and 'wobble' base-pairing, i.e. permitting non-standard base-pairing at the 3rd anti-codon position.
Source: RNAcentral
GCUGGUGUGGCGAAACGGUAAACGCAGAGAUCCCACACAUCUCUGGGCGCAAGCCCUUGUGGGUUCGAAUCCCACCACCAGCACCC